Arachis ipaensis is the source of this 1097-nucleotide non-coding RNA. The record is from RefSeq and is a predicted model, not a curated record. Lineage: Eukaryota; Viridiplantae; Streptophyta; Magnoliopsida; Fabales; Fabaceae.
CAUAAAAUAAAAAAUGAAAACAUGCAGAGUGGAUGAGAGACAACAUUAUCCAGUAUCCACACAUGGCAUGGUAGCUUUCACCGUUUGUCUCUGAUUGCAAGCAAGGAAGAAAUGGCUCUAAGUCUCAACAUCCUCUCACUGUGUUCCACUUCCUCUUCAACUUCUAAACCUCAUAUCAGAACUCCCACUUGUCAUCUUGCUCCUUUCACACUCAGCUUCAAGCAACAACAAUCUUCUUCUCAGAAGCUGACAUUCUCAUUGGCUGAAUCUGUGUCUGGUGCCACCCUUGCUGCUCUCAUCUCUGCUUCCCUGUUCUUUGUUGACCCUGCACUUGCAUUCAAGGGUGGAGGUCCAUAUGGCCAAGAGGUCACAAGGGGACAAGAUCUCUCUGGCAAGGAUUUCAGUGGAAAGACCCUCAUCAAGCAAGACUUCAAAACGUCCAUAUUGAGACAAGCCAAUUUUAAAGGUGCAAAGUUGUUAGGUGCUAGCUUCUUCGAUGCUGAUUUAACAGGUGCUGACCUUUCAGAUGCUGAUCUUAGAAGUGCAGAUUUUUCAUUGGCAAAUGUCACAAAGGCAAAUUUAAGCAAUGCUAACCUGGAAGGUGCACUUGCAACAGGAAAUACAUCUUUUAAAGGAUCAAAUAUUACCGGAGCAGAUUUUACUGAUGUGCCGCUAAGAGACGAUCAACGCGAAUAUCUCUGCAAAGUUGCAGAUGGAGUGAACCCAACAACUGGAAAUGCUACGCGAGAUACAUUGCUGUGCAAUUAGUAUUCCAUUGCUGCGGAGUGAGGAGUAUAUAUCUUGAAUCAGAGGAGAGGGCUAGAUCAUGAUGCUGCAUACUGAACUGCAACUUUUGAAUUUGAUAUAUGUUUUGUUAAUUUUAGUAGUGUAUAGUACAUUGCAUAAGUCAGCAACUCGAAUUAGUGGGAAAAGACUUGGUUGUGGUUGUAUAACAUAUAAUAUAUAUCAUGCAUUCAUAGCAGAGGUUAAUGUAUUAGUCUUUUUGGUUAGCCAUUUUCUAUGUAGUUUUCAUGGUAAAAUUGUGCACUAGAAACACUUUUUUUUAUAAGACAAAUUUAUGGUGGUACCAUCUGAAC